This 1240-nucleotide ribosomal RNA is filed under the name Achromobacter animicus. Its description in RNAcentral is "bacterial SSU rRNA". It matches the Rfam family "Bacterial small subunit ribosomal RNA", at positions 158 to 1398 of the family's 1533-position model. Lineage: Bacteria; Pseudomonadati; Pseudomonadota; Betaproteobacteria; Burkholderiales; Alcaligenaceae. The record is from RNAcentral.
CGUAGCUAAUACCGCGAUACGCCCUACGGGGGAAAGCAGGGGAUCGUAAGACCUUGCACUAUUAGAGCGGCCGAUAUCGGAUUAGCUAUUGGUGGGGUAACGGCUCACCAAGGCGACGAUCCGUAGCUGGUUUGAGAGGACGACCAGCCACACUGGGACUGAGACACGGCCCAGACUCCUACGGGAGGCAGCAGUGGGGAAUUUUGGACAAUGGGGGAAACCCUGAUCCAGCCAUCCGCGCGUGUGCGAUGAAGGCCUUCGGGUUGUAAAGCACUUUUGGCAGGAAAGAAACGUCGUGGGUUAAUACCCCCGAAACUGACGGUACCUGCAGAAUAAGCACCGGCUAACUACGUGCCAGCAGCCGCGGUAAUACGUAGGGUGCAAGCGUUAAUCGGAAUUACUGGGCGUAAAGCGUGCGCAGGCGGUUCGGAAAGAAAGAUGUGAAAUCCCAGAGCUUAACUUUGGAACUGCAUUUUUAACUACCGAGCUAGAGUGUGUCAGAGGGAGGUGGAAUUCCGCGUGUAGCAGUGAAAGGCGUAGAUAUGCGGAGGAACACCGAUGGCGAAGGCAGCCUCCUGGGAUAACACUGACGCUCAUGCACGAAAGCGUUGGGGAGCAAACAGGAUUAGAUACCCUGGGUAGUCCACGCCCUAAACGAUGUCAACUAGCUGUUGGGGCCUUCGGGCCUUGGUAGCGCAGCUAACGCGUGAAGUUGACCGCCUGGGGAGUACGGUCGCAAGAUUAAAACUCAAAGGAAUGACGGGGACCCGCACAAGCGGUGGAUGAUGUGGAUUAAUUCGAUGCAACGCGAAAAACCUUACCUACCCUUGAUAUGUCUGGAAUGCCGAAGAGAUUUGGCAGUGCUCGCAAGAGAACCGGAACACAGGUGCUGCAUGGCUGUCGUCAGCUCGUGUCGUGAGAUGUUGGGUUAAGUCCCGCAACGAGCGCAACCCUUGAGAGUAGUUGCUACGAAAGGGCACUCUAAUGAGACUGCCGGUGACAAACCGGAGGAAGGUGGGGAUGACGUCAAGUCCUCAUGGCCCUUAUGGGUAGGGCUUCACACGUCAUACAAUGGUCGGGACAGAGGGUCGCCAACCCGCGAGGGGGAGCCAAUCCCAGAAACCCGAUUCGUAGUCCGGAUCGCAGUCUGCAACUCGACUGCGUGAAGUCGGAAUCGCUAGUAAUCGCGGAUCAGCAUGUCCGGUGAAUACGUUCCCGGGUCUUGUACACACCGCCCGUC